RNAcentral lists this ribosomal RNA (1354 nucleotides) under uncultured bacterium. RNAcentral describes it as "bacterial SSU rRNA". It matches the Rfam family "Bacterial small subunit ribosomal RNA". The record is from RNAcentral.
AGAGUUUGAUCCUGGCUCAGGAUGAACGCUGGCGGCGUGCCUAAUACAUGCAAGUCGAACGGGUGCAGCAAUGCAUUAGUGGCGAACGGGUGAGUAACACGUUGGUGACCUGCCCCAAAGAUGGGAAUAUCACCUGGAAACGGGUGGCAAAACCGAAUAAGCUCAUGGUAGUUAGAGAGCCAUGAGUAAAAGCGCAAGCUACUUUGGGAGGGACCUGCGUCCCAUCAGCUAGUUGGUAAGGUAACGGCCUACCAAGGCGAAGACGGGUAGGGGGCCUGAGAGGGUGGCCCCCCACAAUGGAACUGAAACACGGUCCAUACACCUGCGGGUGGCAGCAGUAGGGAAUAUUGCUCAAUGGGCGAAAGCCUGAAGCAGCAACGCCGCGUGAACGAAGGAGGCCUUCGGGUCGUAAAGUUCUUUUACAGGGGAUGAGGAAGGACAGUACCCUGUGAAUAAGUCUCGGCUAACUACGUGCCAGCAGCCGCGGUAAAACGUAAGAGACGAGCGUUAUCCGGAUUUACUGGGCGUAAAGCGCGUGUAGGAGGCAUCACAAGUUGAUUGUUAAAGCUCCCGGCUUAACUGGGAGAGGUCGGUCAAGACUGUGAAGCUAGAGUACGAGAGAGGUAAUCGGAACUCCGGGAGUAGUGGUGAAAUGCGUAGAUAUCCGGAAGAACACCAGAGGCGAAAGCGGAUUACUGGCUCGAAACUGACACUGAGACGCGAAAGCCAGGGUAGCAAACGGGAUUAGAGACCCCGGUAGUCCUGGCCGUAAACGAUGUAGACUGGACGUCUGAUAGGAUACUAUGAGGUGUCGAAGCAAACGCGAUAAGUCUACCGCCUGGGGAGUACGGUCGCAAGAUUAAAACUCAAAGGAAUUGACGGGGGCCCGCACAAGCAGCGGAGCGUGUGGUUUAAUUCGAUGAUACACGAAGAACCUUACCAGGGUUUGACAUACAUGUGGUAGUGAAGCGAAAGCAGAACGACUCUUCGGAGAGCAUGAACAGGUGCUGCAUGGCUGUCGUCAGCUCGUGUCGUGAGAUGUUCGGUUAAGCCCGCUAACGAGCGCAACCCUUGUUGUGCGUUACAAGUAUCACACAAGACCGCCGGUAGAAAGCCGGAGGAAGGUGGGGAUGACGUCAAGUCAGCAUGGCCUUUAUAUCCUGGGCUACACACACGCUACAAUGGUCGGUACAAUGGGCAGCGAAAGAGCAAUCUGGAGCGAAUCCUAAAAAGCCGGCCCCAGUUCAGAUUGCAGGCUGCAACCCGCCUGCAUGAAGAUGGAGUUGCUAGUAACCGCAGGUCAGCGAUACUGCGGUGAAUACGUUCCCGGGCCUUGUACACACCGCCCGUCAAG